UUUCUUUCAUAAAAUAAAACAUAUUUUUAUCCAAAAUAACACUAACACAAAUUUAAGCCAAAUAACACACCAUGACAUAUUCCCCCCUACUCUUAUAUGUUUGUCCCCAAACAUGAUAUAUACUUCAAUAUUAACAACUUAAAAAUAUCUUAUAUACACUCUAUACAAAUUAUAUCUAACCUGGCGCCAGAAAAAAAAAUGUAUGUACAAUAAUUGUCAGCUAGCUAGCUUCUCCAACCUUUAUAUUUUUGUGUAAAUCUCAAAAAAAAAAAACAAGACACUUUAACCAAAAUCAAAAGAUGUAGUAAUAAGAAAUAGUAUGCGUGCACUCACACUAAGUCCUAGAACUACCUACCCCGAAAAAAAAAUGUUUUAGAAAAACUAAAUAGAUUUACAUGCUACUAAAAUACUAUUUUCAAGUCUCAAACACUGUCCUAACGAGUCACAAAUUGUUUAAAACAAAUCACCAUGGAUUUAUCUCACUUUGGAACUCUCUAGUUAACUCUUUUAAGAAAGUGUCAAUGCAUCCAUUCGGCACUUCAUCAAAAGUCUGCCAUUCUGGAGGCAUAUUUGGGUUCAUCCAACUUAACAAAAAUUCCAUUUUUCCACUAUUGUCAACUCUUGCUUCAUGUAAUUCAUACCCCUGACCACAGCUACUAAAGUCUUGUUUCAAUGUUCCCUGGUGUUUUUCCUUAAGAUAGCUCAAUUUCUCUUGCAGCAAUCUCUCCUCAAAUAUUGUUGUAAAGUAUUUGAUAAAAUUGUGUGCAUGGUUACGAACAGAUGUAAUGGAAUGCCACCUCUGAAUAAUUCCGGUUUGAAUAAGAAAAUAAGCCCUUUGAUUUAUAAAACGCACUGCCAGUAAUUUUUCAGGUUGUGAAUAAUCCAAAGAAGGGUUGUUAUUGGUUGAUAGCACAUUUACAGAUUCCUUUUGCGAAUUGGCUCUAGUUUUCUUGUUUUC
Molecule: long non-coding RNA, 958 nt
Filed under: Mytilus galloprovincialis (Mediterranean mussel)
Lineage: Eukaryota; Metazoa; Mollusca; Bivalvia; Mytilida; Mytilidae
Source: RNAcentral